Molecule: long non-coding RNA, 1712 nt
Organism: Bicyclus anynana (squinting bush brown)
Lineage: Eukaryota; Metazoa; Arthropoda; Insecta; Lepidoptera; Nymphalidae
Exons: 3
Source: RefSeq, a predicted model, not a curated record
CCUGCCUCGCUAAACGUUACUUUUCUGUCAAAGUAUAUGAUCAACGAUCUAAUGCGAUUAUAAAAACUAUCUCUAUAGAAUCGAUGUUAAAUAGUUGUAAUCGUGUUCGUCGGUUAAAGAGCUCCGUAAAAAUACCUUUUUGUGUAAUUGAAUUGUGUAAAAAACGGGCAAAAACUUCUAGAUCAGUAGAAGAUAUAUACCAAAUCUAAGCUCGUUUUCUUCAGAAAAUGACAGACAAUUUUGUUCGUGACUAUGAGUGCGAUACAGGUCCUUCUAUAAUUGGUCUGAGGUCGAAGUAGCCAACCUAUAGAUAUCAUAGAUCAAAGAGCCAACCCAACUUGAAUUUCUCGAUGGUUUGGGAUUUCCUUCCGACCACAGAGUACACUCGAAUGAUGACAAAUCGUCUCGUCAAUAAAUAUGUUCCUUGUGCCAUAGCAUUAUAUUCAUAGGUAUAAUUUUAAUAGGUACCUACAUUGAUUCAGGUUCAGUCCAGUGUUGCCAGAAGAUUACUUUUGUAACCUUUUAGGUGAUUUUUUGACUGCAUUGGUAACUUUUUGGUUACAUUAAUAAAAAGGUUACUUUUACGUGAUAUUUCGGAAUUUUUUAAAUUAACUUACAAUUUCAUAUACCUAAAACAGAACGGCCGUUAAAUCAAGAAAUGCGGACAAAUGCUGCGAACUCAUCGAUGUUUCUGUGUCAAUACAACUAACAUUCUAUUAACUUUUAAUACCUUUCCAGUAAAAAAUAUGAAUAAUAGUUUGUUAAACAAGGGGCUGAACAAACCCAUUGUAUACGAGGUGUUUCCUUUUUGUUCCAUCUUCAAACUUAGGUCACAAUUAUUCUCACUAUAAAUGAAGACGUUACAAUUGACGUUGCGAAUUAAGUACCUACAUUGACAUUUCUUAACUUACUUAUAUUAAAUUAUGUAUGGUUUGCUUAUAAAAUGUUAUUUAAAAUAUAUUAACCAUAUCUAACUGUUCUAAACUUAUUUCUUAUCCCAUGAGGAAAAGGCAAUCAAUCAGGGCCUUACUUAAGAUGAUUCUAUUUACGAGUAAAAUCUCCUUCGGUUUAAAGUAAUUUAGUACUUGACUAGUAUUCGUAACAGACAGAUAUUAAAAACAAAACAAAAUUACUUUAGUCCCUAGAGGCUGAAAUGGUAGUUUAGUCAUGCUGUGGAACGCAAAAAGCAAGAGUAGUUAGUGAAAAGGUUACUUUUUACACAAAAAGGUUACUUUUUUUAAUAUUCCGGGUAACUUUUUACAAGACCCAACUGGCAACACCGGUUCAGUCACUAAAAGUUUUGAAAUUCAAACUUCCUGCUUUUCUAACAUCGAAACCCGAACGAUUUUUUGUAGCUUAUAUUAAUUAUUAACUUUAUCUUAACGAUUGCCCAAUAUUUUGUAUAGUUAUCAACAAUUUAUCUACUUAAGCACCUACCGGUUAACCUUGAUAUUUUAAUAUGAGCAAGACGUACAUAGAAGAAUUAUUAGAAAGUGAUGAUGAACUACCGUGUAUUCCUACGGGAACAGGCACGUCAGCUAGUGCAACAAUAAAAAGUAUAGCUAGUUACUGUGGAGUACAAUGAGGUUCCAGCUAUCCCUGCAUAUCUGAUAGAAAAUCGUUUUGACAAGUUAAAAUUCAAGUGGCUUGACAAGUGGAUACAGCCUUGUGAAAGAGAAUCCGAACAUGUACUCAUAGAUGAAAUCAACAUU